UUGUCUUUUAAAUAAAGACCUGUAUGAACGGCUAAAUGAGGAUAAACCUGUCUCUUAUAACUAAUCAGUGAAACUGAUCUUCCAGUACAAAAGCUGGAAUUAUCACAUAAGACGAGAAGACCCUGUGGAGCUUAAAACAAACCGCUAAACAAACUCCUAACUGUAUUAGCGCGCGUUUUCAGUUGGGGCGACUUCGGAAUAAAAAACAACUUCCGAGCACAGAACUACAACUUCUAACCGAGGCAAACAAGCCAAAGCACAAAAUCGACCCGGCCCUGCCGAUUAACGAACCAAGUUACCCCAGGGAUAACAGCGCAAUCUUCUUCGAGAGCCCCUAUCAACAAGAAGGUUUACGACCUCGAUGUUGGAUCAGGACACCCAAAUGGUGCAGCCGCUAUUAAAGGUUCGUUUGUUCAACGAUU
Molecule: ribosomal RNA, 422 nt
Filed under: Notomabuya frenata
Lineage: Eukaryota; Metazoa; Chordata; Lepidosauria; Squamata; Scincidae
Description: partial 16S ribosomal RNA
Rfam family: Bacterial large subunit ribosomal RNA
Source: RNAcentral